GAGCUUAUCGUCUAAAGGAUAAGACUUUAACCUUCUAAGUUAAACAUAUAGGUUCGAUUCCUAUUAAGCUCA
Molecule: transfer RNA, 72 nt
Filed under: Ostreobium quekettii
Lineage: Eukaryota; Viridiplantae; Chlorophyta; Ulvophyceae; Bryopsidales; Ostreobiaceae
Also listed under: 2 other names
Description: tRNA-Arg
Rfam family: tRNA
About the family: Transfer RNA (tRNA) molecules are approximately 80 nucleotides in length. Their secondary structure includes four short double-helical elements and three loops (D, anti-codon, and T loops).
Source: RNAcentral